AGUGAACGCUGGCGGUAGGCCUAACACAUGCAAGUCGAACGGCAGCACAGUAAGAGCUUGCUCUUACGGGUGGCGAGUGGCGGACGGGUGAGGAAUACAUCGGAAUCUACUUUUUCGUGGGGGAUAACGUAGGGAAACUUACGCUAAUACCGCAUACGACCUACGGGUGAAAGCAGGGGAUCUUCGGACCUUGCGCGAUUGAAUGAGCCGAUGUCGGAUUAGCUAGUUGGCGGGGUAAAGGCCCACCAAGGCGACGAUCCGUAGCUGGUCUGAGAGGAUGAUCGGCCACACUGGAACUGAGACACGGUCCAGACUCCUACGGGAGGGAGCAGUGGGGAAUAUUGGACAAUGGGCGGAAGCCUGAUCCAGCCAUACCGCGUGGGUGAAGGAGGCCUUCGGGUUGUAAAGCCCUUUUGUUGGGAAAGAAAAGCAGCAGGUUAAUACCCCGCUGUUCUGACGGUACCCAAAGAAUAAGCACCGGCUAACUUCGUG
Molecule: ribosomal RNA, 492 nt
Filed under: uncultured bacterium
Lineage: Bacteria
Description: partial 16S ribosomal RNA
Rfam family: Bacterial small subunit ribosomal RNA
Source: RNAcentral